Molecule: long non-coding RNA, 242 nt
Filed under: Elaeis guineensis (African oil palm)
Lineage: Eukaryota; Viridiplantae; Streptophyta; Magnoliopsida; Arecales; Arecaceae
Description: long non-coding RNA (EGUI_LNC043332)
Source: RNAcentral
ACUUUUUGAGAAGGAAGAUUAAUCAGAAAUAGAAGAAGCCUAGGAGAUGGAGAGAAGAGGGACCAGGGAUAGAAAGAGAGCAUUAUUUUAUUUUAAGAGAGCAUCUGAGAGGCUAGAGAGACUCAAGAUGGGUUCAGGUUCAGCCAUUUAGAUAAGUGUUUGGGUCUCAUAUUGAGUUCGGAUUUGGUUGGAUCGGAUCGGAUCAUUUAUCUUAAGAUCUAAAUUAACUUAAAAGUCUUUAC